GCCAGACUCCUACGGGAGGCAGCAGUGAGGAAUAUUGGUCAAUGGACGAGAGUCUGAACCAGCCAAGUAGCGUGAAGGAUGACUGCCCUAUGGGUUGUAAACUUCUUUUAUAAAGGAAUAAAACGAGGCACGUGUGCCUUUUUGCAUGUACUUUAUGAAUAAGGAUCGGCUAACUCCGUGCCAGCAGCCGCGGUAAUACGGAGGAUGCGAGCGUUAUCCGGAUUUAUUGGGUUUAAAGGGUGCGCAGGCGGAGGUGCAAGUCAGCGGUCAAAUUGCGGGGCUCAACCCCGUACUGCCGUUGAAACUGCAUCCCUUGAGUGCGCGAGAAGUAUGCGGAAUGCGUGGUGUAGCGGUGAAAUGCAUAGAUAUCACGCAGAACUCCGAUUGCGAAGGCAGCAUACCGGCGCGCAACUGACGCUCAUGCACGAAAGCGUGGGUAUCGAACAGGAUUAGAUACCCCAGUA
This 464-nucleotide ribosomal RNA is filed under the name uncultured bacterium. Its description in RNAcentral is "bacterial SSU rRNA". It matches the Rfam family "Bacterial small subunit ribosomal RNA", at positions 330 to 792 of the family's 1533-position model. The record is from RNAcentral.